RNAcentral lists this ribosomal RNA (549 nucleotides) under marine metagenome. Its description in RNAcentral is "bacterial SSU rRNA". It matches the Rfam family "Archaeal small subunit ribosomal RNA", at positions 901 to 1451 of the family's 1478-position model. The record is from RNAcentral.
UUUAAUUGGAUUCAACGCCGGAAAACUCACCAGUGCCGACGGACAUAUGAAGAUCAGCGUGAUGAGCUUAUUGGAUUGUUCGAGAGGUAGUGCAUGGCCGUCGUCAGUUCGUACCGUAAGGCGUUCUGUUAAGUCAGAUAACGAACGAGACCCCUAUCGUCUAUUUGCUAGACGGAUCUCCGGAUUCGUCGCACUAUAGCGAGACCGCUGGCGUGAAGUCAGAGGAAGGUGGGGGCAACGACAGGUCAGUAUGCUCCGAAUGCACUGGGCUACACGCGCGCUACAAAGGCCAGGACAAUGGGUCUGCCACGCCGAGAGGCGGCGCUAUCCCGAAACCUGGUCGUAGUUCGGAUCGAGGGCUGUAAUUCGCCCUCGUGAAGCUGGAUUUCGUAGUAAUCGCGUCUCAAAAUGGCGCGGUGAAUAUGCCCCUGCUCCUUGCACACACCGCCCGUCAAACCACUUAGUUGGGGGUGGGUGAGGCUGCCUUAACCAUGGGGUAUUCGAGCCUGCCUUCGACAAGGAGGGUUAAGUCGUAACAAGGUAUCUGUA